CCUACGGGAGGCAGCAGUGAGGAAUAUUGGUCAAUGGACGAGAGUCUGAACCAGCCAAGUAGCGUGAAGGAUGACUGCCCUAUGGGUUGUAAACUUCUUUUAUAUGGGAAUAAAACGUUCCACGUGUGGGAUUUUGUAUGUACCAUAUGAAUAAGGAUCGGCUAACUCCGUGCCAGCAGCCGCGGUAAUACGGAGGAUCCGAGCGUUCUCCGGAUUUAUUGGGUUUAAAGGGAGCGUAGAUGGGUUGUUAAGUCAGUUGUGAAAGUUUGCGGCUCAACCGUAAAAUUGCAAUUGAUACUGGCAGUCUUGAGUACAGUUGAGGUAGGCGGAAUUCGUGGUGUAGCGGUGAAAUGCUUAGAUAUCACGAAGAACUCCGAUUGCGAAGGCAGCCUACUAAACUGCCACUGACAUUGAUGCUCGAAAGUGUGGGUAUCAAACAGGAUUAGAUACCCUUGUAGUC
This 460-nucleotide ribosomal RNA is filed under the name uncultured bacterium. RNAcentral describes it as "partial 16S ribosomal RNA". It matches the Rfam family "Bacterial small subunit ribosomal RNA", at positions 338 to 795 of the family's 1533-position model. The record is from RNAcentral.